Molecule: transfer RNA, 85 nt
Filed under: Methanobacteriota archaeon
Lineage: Archaea; Methanobacteriati; Methanobacteriota
Description: Euryarchaeota archaeon tRNA-Leu
Rfam family: tRNA
About the family: Transfer RNA (tRNA) molecules are approximately 80 nucleotides in length. Their secondary structure includes four short double-helical elements and three loops (D, anti-codon, and T loops). Further hydrogen bonds mediate the characteristic L-shaped molecular structure. tRNAs have two regions of fundamental functional importance: the anti-codon, which is responsible for specific mRNA codon recognition, and the 3' end, to which the tRNAs corresponding amino acid is attached (by aminoacyl-tRNA synthetases). tRNAs cope with the degeneracy of the genetic code in two manners: having more than one tRNA (with a specific anti-codon) for a particular amino acid; and 'wobble' base-pairing, i.e. permitting non-standard base-pairing at the 3rd anti-codon position.
Source: RNAcentral
GCGGGGGUACCCGAGCUGGCCAAAGGGGAUGGACUUAAGAUCCAUUAGCUUAGUGCUUUCAAGGGUUCAAAUCCCUUCCCCCGCA